UACGUAGGGGGCAAGCGUUGUCCGGAUUUAUUGGGCGUAAAGAGCGUGUAGGCGGCCAUACAGGUCAGCUGUGAAAACUCGAGGCUCAACCUCGAGACGUCGGUUGAAACCGUAUGGCUAGAGUCCGGAAGAGGAGAGUGGAAUUCCCGGUGUAGCGGUGAAAUGCGCAGAUAUCGGGAGGAACACCAAUUGCGAAGGCAGCUCGCUGGGACGUUACUGACGCUGAGACGCGAAAGCGUGGGGAGCAAACAGG
This 253-nucleotide ribosomal RNA is filed under the name uncultured bacterium. Its description in RNAcentral is "partial 16S ribosomal RNA". It matches the Rfam family "Bacterial small subunit ribosomal RNA", at positions 524 to 776 of the family's 1533-position model. The record is from RNAcentral.